AGUGAACGCUGGCGGCGUGCCUAAUACAUGCAAGUCGAACGAACGAAUAAGAGCUUGCUCUUAUAAGUUAGUGGCGCACGGGUGAGUAAUAUAUAGCUAAUCUGCCUCUUAGUAGAGGAUAACAGUCGGAAACGAUUGCUAAUACUCUAUACUUCUGCUUUACAUAAGUAAAGUAGAGAAAGUUUUUCGCUAAGAGAUGAGGCUAUACUGUAUCAGCUAGUUGGUAAGGUAACGGCUUACCAAGGCUAUGACGCAUAACUGGUCUGAGAGGAUGAUCAGUCACAUUGGAACUGAGACACGGUCCAAACUCCUACGGGAGGCAGCAGUAGGGAAUAUUGCGCAAUGGGGGAAACCCUGACGCAGCAACGCCGCGUGGAGGAUGACACUUUUCGGAGCGUAAACUCCUUUUAUCGGGAAAGAAUAAUGACGGUACCCGAUGAAUAAGUACCGGCUAACUCCGUG
RNAcentral lists this ribosomal RNA (462 nucleotides) under uncultured bacterium. RNAcentral describes it as "partial 16S ribosomal RNA". It matches the Rfam family "Bacterial small subunit ribosomal RNA", at positions 29 to 507 of the family's 1533-position model. The record is from RNAcentral.